RNAcentral lists this ribosomal RNA (301 nucleotides) under uncultured fungus. Its description in RNAcentral is "eukaryotic LSU rRNA". The stretch from base 1 to 52 matches the Rfam family "5.8S ribosomal RNA", at positions 103 to 154 of the family's 154-position model. Lineage: Eukaryota; Fungi. The record is from RNAcentral.
AACGCACCUUGCGCUCCUUGGUAUUCCGAGGAGCAUGCCUGUUUGAGUGUCAUGGUAUUCUCAAUCCAUUCAAUACUGUCAAAGGUAUUGGAUUGGUAUUGGAUGUGGAGGAUUAUUGCUGGUCUCUUUAUUGAGUAUCAGCUCCUCUGAAAUGCAUUAGUGUGAAUGUUUACCGAGCAUUUUCUCAGUGUGAUAAUUAUCUACACUUCAACCAAUUUAAGUUAGCUGGCUUCUAAUCGAUCCUUAGUGAUCACUUUGUGUAUUUGACCUCAAAUCAGGUAGGACUACCCGCUGAACUUAA